CAUGCCAUAUGAUGAAAUAAUGUAAAGGAGGCCGUGAAAAACACUCCAGAAAGGUUUUCUUUGAAAAAAAAAUCAUCAUGAAUUUUGGCGCAAAAAAAACGCCUUACUAUACUAUGUCGAAAAAAAAUGUGAUUUUUCAAACAUGUUGUAAAAACAUGCCAUAUGAUGAAAUAAUGUAAAGGAGGCCGUGAAAAACACUCCAGAAAGGUUUUCUUUGAAAAAAAAAUCAUCAUGAAUUUUGGCGCAAAAAAACGCCUUACUAUACUAUGUCGAAAAAAAAUGCAAUUUUUCAAACAUGUUGUAAAAACGUGCCAUAUGAUGAAAUAAUGUAAAGGAGGCCGUGAAAAACAUUCC
This is a long non-coding RNA of Amphiprion ocellaris (clown anemonefish), 354 nucleotides long. NCBI's taxonomy places the organism in Eukaryota, Metazoa, Chordata, Actinopteri, Pomacentridae. The record is from Ensembl.